AUUGAACGCUGGCGGCAGGCCUAACACAUGCAAGUCGAACGGUAACAGAACUAGCUUGCUAGUUGCUGACAAGUGGCGGACGGGUGAGUAAUACUUAGGGAUCUGCCUCUGUGUGGGGGAUAACUAUUGGAAACGAUAGCUAAUACCGCAUAACGUCUACGGACCAAAGAGGGCUUCGGCUCUCGCGCAGAGAGGAACCUAAGCGAGAUUAGCUUGUUGGUGAGGUAAAGGCUCACCAAGGCGACGAUCUCUAGCUGUUCUGAGAGGAAGAUCAGCCACACUGGAACUGAGACACGGUCCAGACUCCUACGGGAGGCAGCAGUGGGGAAUAUUGCACAAUGGGGGCAACCCUGAUGCAGCCAUGCCGCGUGUGUGAAGAAGGCCUUCGGGCUGUAAAGCACUUUCAGUUGUGAGGAAAGGUUAGUAGUUAAUACUGCUAGCUGUGACGUUACACAGAGAAGCACCGGCUACUCCGUGCCAGCAGCCGCGGUAUACGGAGGGUGCGAGCGUUAUCGGAAUUACUGGGCGUAAAGCGCACGCAGGCGGUCUGUUAAGCUAGAUGUGAAAGCCCCGCGCUCAACGUGGGAGGGUCAUUUAGAACUGGCAGACUAGAGUCUUGGAGAGGGGAGUGGAAUUCCAGGUGUAGCGGUGAAAUGCGUAGAGAUCUGGAGGAACAUCAAUGGCGAAGGCAACUCCCUGGCCAAAGACUGACGCUCAUGUGCGAAAGUGUGGGUAGCGAACAGGAUUAGAUACCCUGGUAGUCCACACCGUAAACGCUGUCUACUAGCUGUUUGUGGAUUUAAUCCGUGAGUAGCGAAGCUAACGCGAUAAGUAGACCGCCUGGGGAGUACGGCCGCAAGGUUAAAACUCAAAUGAAUUGACGGGGGCCCGCACAAGCGGUGGAGCAUGUGGUUUAAUUCGAUGCACGCGAAGAGCAUACCUACUCUUGACAUACUAGAACUUUUCAGAGAUGAGUAGUGCGUUCGGAUCUAGAUACAGUGCUGCAUGCUGUCGUCAGCUCGUGUCGUGAGAUGUAR
This 1037-nucleotide ribosomal RNA is filed under the name uncultured Glaciecola sp. RNAcentral describes it as "bacterial SSU rRNA". It matches the Rfam family "Bacterial small subunit ribosomal RNA", at positions 28 to 1077 of the family's 1533-position model. The record is from RNAcentral. Lineage: Bacteria; Pseudomonadati; Pseudomonadota; Gammaproteobacteria; Alteromonadales; Alteromonadaceae.